AAGUCGUAACAAGGUCUCCGUUGGUGAACCAGCGGAGGGAUCAUUACCGAAGUUACCCUUCAAAACCCAUUGUGAACCUUACCUCUUGCCGCGCGUUGCCUCGGCGGGGAGGCGGGGCUCGGGUUCGGCGCGCCCCUCACCGGGCCGCCGUCCCCGUCCCCGUCCCCGCCGGCCGCGCCAAACUCUAAAUUUGAAAAAGCGUACUGCACGUUCUGAUUCAAAACAAAAAACAAGUCAAAACUUUUAACAACGGAUCUCUUGGUUCUG
This 267-nucleotide unclassified non-coding RNA is filed under the name air metagenome. Its description in RNAcentral is "partial contains small subunit ribosomal RNA, internal transcribed spacer 1, and 5.8S ribosomal RNA". The stretch from base 1 to 46 matches the Rfam family "Eukaryotic small subunit ribosomal RNA", at positions 1786 to 1831 of the family's 1831-position model. The record is from RNAcentral.